RNAcentral lists this small nucleolar RNA (109 nucleotides) under Trichophyton rubrum BMU01672. RNAcentral describes it as "CD-box snoRNA". Lineage: Eukaryota; Fungi; Ascomycota; Eurotiomycetes; Onygenales; Arthrodermataceae. The record is from RNAcentral.
UAAAAAUGAUGGAUGAACUCUAGAGAUGAGACGCUGAGGAUGCAGAGAAGAAUGUAUGGAAUAGGAGUCUGGAUGAUGAAAAAGGAGAUUUUGAAGUCAUUCGUCUAGA